Molecule: ribosomal RNA, 630 nt
Filed under: uncultured bacterium
Lineage: Bacteria
Description: bacterial SSU rRNA
Rfam family: Bacterial small subunit ribosomal RNA
Source: RNAcentral
GAAAGAAUAUCGGAGACGGAUGGGCAUGCGGCGCAUUAGCUGGUUGGCGGGGUAACGGCCCACCAAGGCGACGAUGCGUAGGGGUUCUGAGAGGAAGGUCCCCCACACUGGUACUGAGACACGGACCAGACUCCUACGGGAGGCAGCAGUGAGGAAUAUUGGUCAAUGGGCGAGAGCCUGAACCAGCCAAGUCGCGUGAGGGAGUACUGCCCUAUGGGUUGUAAACCUCUUUUGUCGGGGAGCAAAAGCCGGACGUGUCCGGCUGUGAGAGUACCCGAAGAAAAAGCAUCGGCUAACUCCGUGCCAGCAGCCGCGGUAAUACGGAGGAUGCGAGCGUUAUCCGGAUUUAUUGGGUUUAAAGGGUGCGCAGGCGGAUUUUUAAGUCAGCGGUCAAAUCGUGGGGCUCAACCCCAUCCAGCCGUUGAAACUGGGGAUCUAGAGUGUGCGAGAGGUAUGCGGAAUGCGUGGUGUAGCGGUGAAAUGCAUAGAUAUCACGCAGAACCCCGAUUGCGAAGGCAGCAUACCGGUGCACAACUGACGCUCAGGCACGAAAGCGUGGGUAUCGAACAGGAUUAGAUACCCUGGUAGUCCACGCAGUAAACGAAGAAUGCUACCUGUUUGGCCAGAUUG